RNAcentral lists this ribosomal RNA (231 nucleotides) under uncultured bacterium. Its description in RNAcentral is "partial 16S ribosomal RNA". It matches the Rfam family "Bacterial small subunit ribosomal RNA", at positions 118 to 347 of the family's 1533-position model. The record is from RNAcentral.
UGAGUAACCUGCCCUUAACUCUGGGAUAAGCCUGGGAAACUGGGUCUAAUACCGGAUAUGACUCCUCAUCGCAUGGUGGGGGGUGAAAGCUUUUUGUGGUUUUGGAUGGACUCGCGGCCUAUCAGCUUGUUGGUGAGGUAAUGGCUCACCAAGGCGACGACGGGUAGCCGGCCUGAGAGGGUGACCGGCCACACUGGGACUGAGACACGGCCCAGACUCCUACGGGAGCAG